RNAcentral lists this ribosomal RNA (699 nucleotides) under uncultured bacterium. RNAcentral describes it as "bacterial SSU rRNA". It matches the Rfam family "Bacterial small subunit ribosomal RNA", at positions 202 to 898 of the family's 1533-position model. The record is from RNAcentral.
AAGGCCUGGCGCUUCAUGAUGAGCCCGCGGCCUAUCAGCUAGUUGGUGAGGUAACGGCUCACCAAGGCUAAGACGGGUAACUGGUCUGAGAGGACGACCAGCCACACUGGAACUGAGACACGGUCCAGACACCUACGGGUGGCAGCAGUCGAGAAUUUUUCACAAUGGGGGAAACCCUGAUGGAGCAACGCCGCGUGGGGGAUGAAUGGCUUCGGCCCGUAAACCCCUGUCAUUCGGGAUCAAUGCCUGCUAUUUAAAAGAUGGCAGGUUGAUAGUACCGGAAGAGGAAGGGACGGCUAACUCUGUGCCAGCAGCCGCGGUAAUACAGAGGUCCCAAGCGUUGUUCGGAUUUACUGGGCGUAAAGGGUGCGUAGGUGGUUGGGUAAGUCUGAUGUGAAAUCUCGGAGCAUAACUCCGAAACGGCAUUGGAUACUAUUCAGCUUGAGAGUUGGAGGGGGGACUGGAAUUCUCGGUGUAGCAGUGAAAUGCGUAGAUAUCGAGAGGAACACCAGUGGCGAAGGCGAGUCCCUGGACAACUUCUGACACUGAGGCACGAAAGCCAGGGGAGCAAACGGGAUUAGAUACCCCGGUAGUCCUGGCCCUAAACGGUGCACGUUUGCUGUAAAAGGAAUCGACCCCUUUUGUGGCGUAGCCAACGCGUUAAACGUGCUGCCUGGGAAGUACGGUCGCAAGAUUAAA